RNAcentral lists this long non-coding RNA (572 nucleotides) under Brassica napus (rape). RNAcentral describes it as "long non-coding RNA (BNAP_LNC018915)". Lineage: Eukaryota; Viridiplantae; Streptophyta; Magnoliopsida; Brassicales; Brassicaceae. The record is from RNAcentral.
CCGGAUGUCUCUUAGUUCUUGUGGGUUUUCUUAUGUUAAUCCGGAGGGCUAAAGCAGUAAUUAAUUGUAUUGUGUUGGUGGAUGCAUGCAGGUGUGUAUGUUGUGAGAACGAUUGAUCUUUUUUUUUUUUUUUUUUUUUUUUAUUGAAUGUUAAAUUUAAUUCAAAAAGAAAAAACCUUGUUACAACUAUGUGUGGCCUUUCUCCUAAGAUUUCUAUACAAGAUUUAUAAAAUCAAAAAGAAAAUCAUGCUUCAGCUCAUCUACCUCCUCAUCUCUUCCCAUCCUUCUCAAUUCUACCUAGCUCUCACUCCUACUAGGCAGCCAGCUCUCACUCCUACUGGAUAUCCAGCUCUCACUCCUACUGGUUCUUCCUAAUCAAAUUUUUAACCUUCAAUAGUUUAUCCCUUUCUCAAAACUGCAGCUCAAGUCCCCCUCCCAUGAAGUAUUAUCUUGUUGAAAACCAAUAUUGUAACCCUCCUGCCAGCCUCUUAUCCCCCUUCUUUUGAAUGAUUGAGAAUUUAUUUCUCAUGGUCUUGUCGAUCAGCUUUGCAAUUAGAGCAUAUGGAGAAGCA